Canis lupus familiaris (dog) is the source of this 1271-nucleotide long non-coding RNA. RefSeq lists it as uncharacterized. The transcript has 4 exons. NCBI's taxonomy places the organism in Eukaryota, Metazoa, Chordata, Mammalia, Carnivora, Canidae. The record is from RefSeq and is a predicted model, not a curated record.
GGUUGGUCCAGAUUUGGGGUGUACGUGACUACCACUGUUUGUGUUAUACAUGAUCAGGAGAAUGAACAGGAAGAAUAUGGAAUCCACUUAACACAUGUGGUGUCGCCAGGAGGAGCAUGAUUCUGCCAGCAUUGACUAGACUUAUCUCUGAUAUGUUUUCAAUCUGCAAAACUGAGAAGCUAGUAAAUUUGUAUCAAUUUAGACUCUUUUCUUCAAUGAGAAGUGAGUUGAAGAAGUGGCACUCAGAAAUUACCUUUGAGUUAUCCAGCUGCUGGAAAUCUAAGAGCUGUCCAGAGGCAAGAAAUACUUAAAACUUAGAGUGGUUAAGGUGAUGGAGGGUGCCCCGUGACCAGCUGAUGAAGGAAGGAAACGGUUAACUUGAUCACAAGGACGGUGGCUAAAAGUGGACACCCAACUCUCUACACCCCCUUGAGGAUGGCCUUGAAAACCAGGCAAGGUAUGACAAGAACAGAUGUGAAUUUUGGAAAGGUGACUGGCUCCAGGGUGAUGAACUAGUUGAAGGGAAGCCACACUCCUGUCAGAAGACCAGCUGAAGUUACUGCAGUGGAGGAAGGUCAGAGCCCAUGGAGGCAGGUCAGAGCCCUGCAUGGCCUACAACUUUGUAGCAACAAGCACGUCUAUGGCGCAGGCCUUGAGAUAUGAGUACCAUCCUACUGUCACCGGGACCUUGGAGCAAAGGCUGCUUCCAGGUUUAGAGAAGGGAAAGUAAAAGGACAGCCUUGUUAGGUUAGAAAGUAACUAACCUAGUAACUAGAACUGCUCAAGAAAUUACAGCAGUGCAUUAGCAUGAUUCAGAGCCAAGGAAUUCCUACUGGUUAGAUGUAGGACACUUUGAGCAGCAAAAUUAUAAUAUGGUCAUGGUCAUGGAUUAUAAUCCACUGAAGACACAAACAGAAUCUGUGAGUACAAUGAUAAAGGUAGGUAUGGAGGGAAAACUCCCCCAGCUAAUAAAUGUACAAUGACUAAUGGAAAAUCAGUAUUUUGGCAAACCUAUGUAAUAAUUAGCUCAAGCAAGAACCACCAAUGUACACUAGGUUCACUGCAAUGAAAGAAUAUUCGGCCUUAAACAUCACCCCACAGAUGACUUUUUACAAAGAGAAAACAGUAUCUUUACAGGACUGAUGUGGUAAUACUACCUAACAAGUGAUCAUAUUUAGCAUAAUUAAUAUCAGAACAAAAGGGAGCACCUGGGGAGCUUUGUCAGUGACGUGUCUGCCUUCAGCUCGGAUCAUGGUCUCAGGGUCCUGGGA